Molecule: ribosomal RNA, 253 nt
Filed under: uncultured bacterium
Lineage: Bacteria
Description: partial 16S ribosomal RNA
Rfam family: Bacterial small subunit ribosomal RNA
Source: RNAcentral
UACGUAGGUGGCAAGCGUUGUCCGGAUUUAUUGGGUUUAAAGGGUGCGUAGGCGGUUUAAUAAGUCAGUGGUGAAAUACGGCAGCUCAACUGUCGAGGUGCCAUUGAUACUGUUGGACUUGAGUACAGACGAGGUAGGCGGAAUUGACGGUGUAGCGGUGAAAUGCUUAGAUAUCGUCAGGAACACCGAUAGCGAAGGCAGCUUACUAGGCUGUAACUGACGCUGAGGCACGAAAGUGUGGGGAUCAAACAGG